This 254-nucleotide ribosomal RNA is filed under the name uncultured bacterium. RNAcentral describes it as "partial 16S ribosomal RNA". It matches the Rfam family "Bacterial small subunit ribosomal RNA", at positions 524 to 776 of the family's 1533-position model. The record is from RNAcentral.
CACGUAGGGGGCAAGCGUUGUCCGGAUUUAUUGGGCGUAAAGAGCUCGUAGGUGGUUCGGUAAGUCGGGUGUUAAACCCCCAGGCUCAACCUGGGGACGCCACUCGAUACUGCUGUGACUAGAGUCCGGUAGGGGAGCGUGGAAUUCCUGGUGUAGCGGUGAAAUGCGCAGAUAUCAGGAGGAACACCAGCGGCGAAGGCGGCGCUCUGGGACGGUACUGACGCUGAGGAGCGAAAGCGUGGGUAGCAAACAGG